ACUGAAAUACUUUCCAGAGAGAAAGGUAUGAAUUUUCCCUAUUUUGCAGAUGAGAAACUUGAGGUUCAGGGAGGUGAGCCCGGGAAAGAGACAGCAGAGCACAGGGCAAAGGUCCAUGGUUGCAACCUUCUCCUGUCAUUUAUUAGCUGUGGGACUGUGCGCAAGUUACUAAACCUGUCUAUGCUUCAGUUUCCCAGGCAGGAAAACAUGGGCGAUAAUAAGUACCAACCUACCACCUAUGGCAGUUGUGUGGAUUGAAGGAGUUAGUUUUUGUAAAAUCCCUAGGAUAGUGCUUGGCACAUGGAUUCCGAUAUUCCCCCGAGAAGCAGGGGUUCUAUUAGAGACAGCAAUAAAAGGAAGCUGGUUCAGGACACAAGACAUUAAUGAGGCCUAGACUCAAGGGCCCUGCUGAGCCCUACAGGAGGCACUCCAGGCUAGAAGAAUUGCCAGCUUCAGAGCCCACUACCCGGAGGGCUCAAACUCUGCAAGUUCCCUGUUGAAUCUCCG
This is a long non-coding RNA of Mustela lutreola (European mink), 507 nucleotides long. RefSeq lists it as uncharacterized. Lineage: Eukaryota; Metazoa; Chordata; Mammalia; Carnivora; Mustelidae. The record is from RefSeq and is a predicted model, not a curated record. The transcript is spliced from 3 exons.